CCUGGUGGCGAGCGGCGGACGGGUGAGUAAUGCCUAGGAAUCUGCCUGGUAGUGGGGGAUAACGCUCGGAAACGGACGCUAAUACCGCAUACGUCCUACGGGAGAAAGCAGGGGACCUUCGGGCCUUGCGCUAUCAGAUGAGCCUAGGUCGGAUUAGCUAGUUGGUGAGGUAAUGGCUCACCAAGGCGACGAUCCGUAACUGGUCUGAGAGGAUGAUCAGUCACACUGGAACUGAGACACGGUCCAGACUCCUACGGGAGGCAGCAGUGGGGAAUAUUGGACAAUGGGCGAAAGCCUGAUCCAGCCAUGCCGCGUGUGUGAAGAAGGUCUUCGGAUUGUAAAGCACUUUAAGUUGGGAGGAAGGGCAGUUACCUAAUACGUAUCUGUUUUGACGUUACCGACAGAAUAAGCACCGGCUAA
Molecule: ribosomal RNA, 420 nt
Filed under: uncultured bacterium
Lineage: Bacteria
Description: bacterial SSU rRNA
Rfam family: Bacterial small subunit ribosomal RNA
Source: RNAcentral